This 1380-nucleotide ribosomal RNA is filed under the name metagenome. RNAcentral's name for it is "SSU rRNA". It matches the Rfam family "Eukaryotic small subunit ribosomal RNA", at positions 23 to 1367 of the family's 1831-position model. The record is from RNAcentral.
GUGAUAUGCUUGUUUCAAAGAUUAAGCCAUGCAUGUCUAAGUAUAAGCGAACUUAUACAGUGAAACUGCGGAUGGCUCAUUAAGACAGUUUGAAUUUAUUUGAUGAAUGUAUGAGAAUACUACUUGGAUAACCGUAGUAAUUCUAGAGCUAAUACAUGCAACGACGCCCGACCGUUUCACUACGGAAGGGCUGUAUUUAUUGGAUACCAAAACCAUCCUUCCCUCGGGAAGUUUUGUUUGAUGAUUCACAAUAACUGAUCGGAUCGCCACUGUGGUGGCGACAGGUCAUUCAACAUUCUGCCCUAUCAGCUUUCGAUGGUUGUGUAGUGGACAACCAUGGCCAUAACGGGUAACGGAGAAUCAGGGUUCGAUUCCGGAGAAGGAGCUUGAGAAUUGGCUACUACAUCUAAGUAAGGCAGCAGGCGCGCAAAUUACCCAAUCCCGAUUCGGGGAGGUAGUGACAAAAAAUAACAAUACCGGGCCUUUUUGGGCUUGGUAAUUGGAAUGAGGGAGAGUUAAACGGACCAUCGAGUAUCCAUUGGAGGGCAAGUCUGGUGCCAGCAGCUGCGGUAAUACCAGCUCCAAUAGCGUAUAUUAAAGUUGUUGCAGUUAAAAAGCUCGUAGUUGGACUUGUGUGCGCUGUCCGCGGGUGGCCUGCGCCCAAAAGGGCGUUUCGGUUCGGCCCCGGUGGCGCCUUGAAAUCUGCAGCUGGGGGGACGUUGGCCUUAACUGGUCGGCGACCGCACGCCGGCUGCUCGGUUACUGUGAGAAAAUUAGAGUGUUCAAGGCAGGCAUUGGGUGCAAUUGAAUACAUUAGCAUGGAAUAAUAAAAUAUGGCUCCUGCCGUAUUUUGUUGGUUUUGACUGGUGGGAGUAAUGAUUGAUAGGGACGGUUGGGGGUGCUAGUAUUGAGCGGCCAGAGGUGAAAUUCAUGGAUUCGCUCAAGACUAACUUAUGCGAAAGCAUUCACCAAGGACGUCCUCUUUAAUCAAGAACGAAAGUUGGGGGAUCGAAGACGAUCAGAUACCGUCGUAGUCUCAACCAUAAACUAUGUCGACUUGGGAUCGGCGGUAGUUUUUUCAUUAAGACACUGUCGGGACCACGGGAGAAAUCAAAGUGUCUGGACUCUGGGGGAAGUAUGGUCGCAAGGCUGAAACUUGAAGGAAUUGACGGAAGGGCACCACCAGGAGUGGAGCCUGCGGCUUAAUUUGACCCAACACGGGGAAACUUACCAGGUCCAGAGAUGUAGAGGAUUGACAGAUUGAAGCUCUUUCUUGAUCACUUCGGUGGUGGUGCAUGGCCGUUCUUAGUUGGUGGAGUGAUUUGUCUGGUUAAUUCCGUUAACGAACGAGACCUCAGCCUGCUAGUGUAGUCGGCUGGA